Scylla paramamosain (green mud crab) is the source of this 382-nucleotide long non-coding RNA. RefSeq lists it as uncharacterized. The transcript has 3 exons. Lineage: Eukaryota; Metazoa; Arthropoda; Malacostraca; Decapoda; Portunidae. The record is from RefSeq and is a predicted model, not a curated record.
UCGAAUCCUUGCCUUCCUUAUUACCCUCAGUGGACGCAGCGAGCCCGGACGUGGCAGGACUGACCACCACCACCACCACCUCCACCUCCACCACGAAGACUACAGGUUAAUUAAUGCAGGGAACAGACCGCGCACUUAGAACAGCAAAGAAGAAGAAGAGAAGCAGGAAGAACUGAAGAAAAGGAGCGCCGAGGAAAGAGAGAAGAGGAAACAAACAAUAAAGAGGAGAGAGAAAGGACAAGAACAUGGUGGCAGCAAGACAGUUAGCCUUAAGUGGCCUGCCCUGCUUGCCUGCCUACACCUCACUCCACACGCAGGGACUUGAAGGCCUCAGACAGAGUUUCUCUCAGUACACCUGGCUUGGCCCCGAGAGCAUUAACCA